AUACGGAGGGUGCAAGCGUUACUCGGAAUCACUGGGCGUAAAGCGCGCGCAGGCGGUCUUUUAAGUUAGAUGUGAAAGCCUACGGCUCAACCGUAGAACUGCAUCCAAAACUAUUAGACUAGAGUGUGGGAGAGGAAGAUGGAAUUAGUUGUGUAGGGGUAAAAUCCGUAGAGAUAACUAGGAAUACCAAAAGCGAAGGCAAUCUUCUGGAACACUACUGACGCUGAGGCGCGAAGGCGUGGGGAGCAAACAGGGUUAGAAACCCCAGUAGUCC
This 274-nucleotide ribosomal RNA is filed under the name uncultured bacterium. RNAcentral's name for it is "partial 16S ribosomal RNA". It matches the Rfam family "Bacterial small subunit ribosomal RNA", at positions 523 to 796 of the family's 1533-position model. The record is from RNAcentral.